UACGUAUGGUGCAAGCGUUAUCCGGAUUUACUGGGUGUAAAGGGUGCGUAGGCGGUAAGGCAAGUCAGAAGUGAAAACCUGGGGCUCAACCCCGGGACUGCUUUUGAAACUGUCUAACUAGAGUAUGGGAGAGGAAAGCGGAAUUCCUAGUGUAGCGGUGAAAUGCGUAGAUAUUAGGAGGAACACCAGUGGCGAAGGCGGCUUUCUGGACCAAAACUGACGCUGAGGCACGAAAGCGUGGGGAG
RNAcentral lists this ribosomal RNA (245 nucleotides) under uncultured Lachnospiraceae bacterium. RNAcentral's name for it is "partial 16S ribosomal RNA". It matches the Rfam family "Bacterial small subunit ribosomal RNA", at positions 524 to 768 of the family's 1533-position model. Lineage: Bacteria; Bacillati; Bacillota; Clostridia; Lachnospirales; Lachnospiraceae. The record is from RNAcentral.